This 251-nucleotide long non-coding RNA is filed under the name Theobroma cacao (cacao). RNAcentral's name for it is "long non-coding RNA (TCAC_LNC004937)". The record is from RNAcentral. Lineage: Eukaryota; Viridiplantae; Streptophyta; Magnoliopsida; Malvales; Malvaceae.
AAAACGAAGCGAUCGGAGGUAAGAUUUCGCGAUUUAGCUUAAGAUCUACCUUAUCCAUGCUUUCUUUUUCAUUUUCUAUGGUUGAAACUCAAGUUUUCAUGAUGGAAGCAUGCUGGCCGAAUCAAGGGGGGAAGGUUUUGAUGAUGGUUUUUGAUAGAUUUCAGGCUAUCUAGGUGUUUUUAGUGUUUUGUGAUAUUCGGUAUGAAAAACAAGCAAGAAAAUAACAUGUUCUUCAUCAAACCCUAAUUGGC